RNAcentral lists this transfer RNA (76 nucleotides) under Candidatus Paraburkholderia kirkii UZHbot1. RNAcentral describes it as "tRNA-Asn". It matches the Rfam family "tRNA". From Rfam's summary of the family: Transfer RNA (tRNA) molecules are approximately 80 nucleotides in length. The record is from RNAcentral. Lineage: Bacteria; Pseudomonadati; Pseudomonadota; Betaproteobacteria; Burkholderiales; Burkholderiaceae.
UCCCCGCUAGCUCAGUCGGUAGAGCGCCGGACUGUUAAUCCGUAGGUCCCUGGUUCGAGCCCAGGUCGGGGAGCCA